AGAGCGAACGCUGGCGGCAGGCCUAACACAUGCAAGUCGAGCGCGUGUAGCAAUACACGAGCGGCAGACGGGAGAGUAACACGUGGGAACGCGCCCUUCGGUUCGGAAUAACUCAGGGAAACUUGAGCUAAUACCGGAUACGCCCUUACGGGGAAAGAUUUAUUGCCGAAGGAACGGCCCGCGUCCGAUUAGCUAGUUGGUGAAGUAACGGCUCACCAAGGCGACGAUCGGUAGCUGGUCUGAGAGGAUGACCAGCCUCACUGGGACUGAGACACGGCCCAGACUCCUACGGGAGGCAGCAGUGGGGAAUAUUGGACAAUGGGCGCAAGCCUGAUCCAGCCAUGCCGCGUGGAUGAUGAAGGCCUUAGGGUUGUAAAGUCCUUUUAACGGGGAAGAUAAUGACGGUACCCGUAGAAUAAGCCCGGCUAACUUCGCGCCAGCAGCCGC
Molecule: ribosomal RNA, 447 nt
Filed under: uncultured bacterium
Lineage: Bacteria
Description: SSU rRNA
Rfam family: Bacterial small subunit ribosomal RNA
Source: RNAcentral